This 203-nucleotide long non-coding RNA is filed under the name Vigna radiata. RNAcentral describes it as "long non-coding RNA (VRAD_LNC010374)". Lineage: Eukaryota; Viridiplantae; Streptophyta; Magnoliopsida; Fabales; Fabaceae. The record is from RNAcentral.
GUGGCUUGGCAUGCAGGGCAGUGGAUCUGGAGUAGCUGAAGCUCUAGAGAUGGACGAAAAUGAUGAUGAUGAUGAAGACUUUGAAGAUGUGGAAGACGGAGACGAGGAGGACUUUGAUGAUAGCAUGGGCUGAGGAGAUGAGAUAACAUCUACUGAUGGAUGCUAUCUGCACUAGAACAUGACUUUUCUAUCUUUUGUUUUUG